This is a non-coding RNA of Stegodyphus mimosarum, 73 nucleotides long. The record is from Rfam. Lineage: Eukaryota; Metazoa; Arthropoda; Arachnida; Araneae; Eresidae.
GCCUUCGUGGUGUAGUGGUCAGCACGCUCGGCGCGUAUUCGAGAGGUCCAUGGUUCGAGUCCAGGCGAGGUCA